CUAUAUUUAAAUAGAUGGUUGAUCUGAUUUUUAUGAAAGAGUUUAAUAUUAGAUCAACCUCCUCCAUGCCAAGCCACAUGCCAAAUUAAUUGAGAUGCCACAUUUAUUUUUGGCAUUAAAGAAGGAGAGUCCUUUCAUACUUCUCUUAAAUUCCUUACAUGUUCUACACGUUCUAUUAUUUUGUGCAACAUCAUAUGAUACUUUGGGAUAUGUGGGCAUAGA
This 222-nucleotide long non-coding RNA is filed under the name Elaeis guineensis (African oil palm). Its description in RNAcentral is "long non-coding RNA (EGUI_LNC066846)". The record is from RNAcentral. Lineage: Eukaryota; Viridiplantae; Streptophyta; Magnoliopsida; Arecales; Arecaceae.